Molecule: ribosomal RNA, 1221 nt
Filed under: uncultured organism
Description: bacterial SSU rRNA
Rfam family: Bacterial small subunit ribosomal RNA
Source: RNAcentral
UCGCUUUGGGAGGAGCUCGCUUACUAUCAGCUUGUUGGUAGGGUAAUGGCCUACCAAGGCUAUGACGGUUAGGGGGUGUGAGAGCAUGACCCCCAGCAUUGGCACUGAGACACUGGCCAAACACCUACGGGUGGCUGCAGUCGAGAAUCUUCCACAAUGGGGGAAACCCUGAUGGAGCGAUGCUGCGUGCGGGAUGAAGGCCUUCGGGUUGUAAACCGCUUUUGUAGGGGACGAAAUUUUUGACGGUACCCUUUCGAAUAAGAGGUUGCUAACUCUGUGCCAGCAGCAGCGGUAAUACAGAGACCUCAAGCGUUAUCCGGAUUUACUGGGCGUAAAGCGUCUGUAGGGGGUUUAUUAAGUUCCAAGUAAAAUUUCAAGGCUCAACUUUGAAUUCGCUUGGAAAACUAAUAAACUGGAGUCUAGCAGAGGUGCAUGGAACUUGUGGUGUAGGAGUGAAAUCCGUUGAUAUCACAAGGAACACCAAAGGCGAAGGCAUUGCACUGGGCUAGCACUGACCCUGAGAGACGAAAGCGUGGGGAGCAAAACGGAUUAGAUACCCGUGUAGUCCACGCCCUAAACGAUGAAUGCUAAAUGUUCGGGGAUUCGACCCCCUGGGUGUUACAGCUAACGCGUUAAGCAUUCCGCCUGGGAAGUACGGCCGCAAGGCUAAAACUCAAAGGAAUUGACGGGGAUCCGCACAAGCGGUGGAGCGUCUGGUUUAAUUCGACAGUAAGCGUGGUACCUCACCAGGGUUUGACAUCCCUUGACAGCCUUGGAAACAAGGUUUCCUUCGGGCAAGGUGACAGGUGCUGCAUGGUCGUCGUCAGUUCGUGCCGUGAGGUGUUCCGUUAAGUCGGGAAACGAACGAAACCCCUAUUGCAUGUUACAAUUUCUCAUGCAAGACUGCCCGGAUAUACUGGGAGGAAGGUGGGGAUGACGUCAGAUCUGCAUGGUCCUUAUACCCUGGGCGACACAGGCGCUACAAUGGCAGAGACAAAGGGUUGCAAAACCGCAAGGUGAAGCUAAUCCCAAAAACUUUGUCUAAGUUCGGAUUGAAGGCUGCAAUUCGCCUUCAUGAAGCUGGAAUCGCUAGUAAUCGUGAAUCAGCCACGUCACGGUGAAUAUGUUCCCGGAUCUUGUACUCACCGCCCGUCACACCAAGAGAGUUGGUAGCUCCCGAAGCGUCCCGUUUUAGCGGGGCAUCACGGAGAGAUCAGCGAU